RNAcentral lists this ribosomal RNA (448 nucleotides) under uncultured bacterium. Its description in RNAcentral is "SSU rRNA". It matches the Rfam family "Bacterial small subunit ribosomal RNA", at positions 26 to 518 of the family's 1533-position model. The record is from RNAcentral.
AGAACGAACGCUGGCGGCAUGCCUAACACAUGCAAGUCGAACGCUUGUAGCAAUACAAGAGUGGCGCACGGGUGAGUAACGCGUGGGAACCUGCCCUGGAGUGGGGGAUAACCGAGGGAAACUUCGGCUAAUACCGCAUACGACCUGAGGGUGAAAGAUUUAUCGCUCUAGGAGGGGCCCGCGUCGGAUUAGCUAGUUGGUGGGGUAACGGCCUACCAAGGCUACGAUCCGUAGCUGGUCUGAGAGGAUGGCCAGCCACACUGGGACUGAGACACGGCCCAGACUCCUACGGGAGGCAGCAGUGGGGAAUAUUGGACAAUGGGGGCAACCCUGAUCCAGCAAUGCCGCGUGAGUGAUGAAGGCCUUAGGGUUGUAAAGCUCUUUCGGCGGGGACGAUGAUGACGGUACCCGCAGAAGAAGCCCCGGCUAACUUCGUGCCAGCAGCCGC